UCCCAUCAAGCUCUUCUACACCUCCA
This 26-nucleotide non-coding RNA is filed under the name Mus musculus (house mouse). The record is from RNAcentral. Lineage: Eukaryota; Metazoa; Chordata; Mammalia; Rodentia; Muridae.